RNAcentral lists this ribosomal RNA (888 nucleotides) under Pseudoalteromonas sp. Hex324. Its description in RNAcentral is "bacterial SSU rRNA". It matches the Rfam family "Bacterial small subunit ribosomal RNA", at positions 43 to 919 of the family's 1533-position model. The record is from RNAcentral. Lineage: Bacteria; Pseudomonadati; Pseudomonadota; Gammaproteobacteria; Alteromonadales; Pseudoalteromonadaceae.
CAAUUUAAGGGGACAACCAUGCAGUCGAGCGGUAACAGAGAGGUGCUUGCACCUUUGCUGACGAGCGGCGGACGGGUGAGUAAUGCUUGGGAACAUGCCUUGAGGUGGGGGACAACAGUUGGAAACGACUGCUAAUACCGCAUAAUGUCUACGGACCAAAGGGGGCUUCGGCUCUCGCCUUUAGAUUGGCCCAAGUGGGAUUAGCUAGUUGGUGAGGUAAUGGCUCACCAAGGCGACGAUCCCUAGCUGGUUUGAGAGGAUGAUCAGCCACACUGGGACUGAGACACGGCCCAGACUCCUACGGGAGGCAGCAGUGGGGAAUAUUGCACAAUGGGCGCAAGCCUGAUGCAGCCAUGCCGCGUGUGUGAAGAAGGCCUUCGGGUUGUAAAGCACUUUCAGUCAGGAGGAAAGGUUAGUAGUUAAUACCUGCUAGCUGUGACGUUACUGACAGAAGAAGCACCGGCUAACUCCGUGCCAGCAGCCGCGGUAAUACGGAGGGUGCGAGCGUUAAUCGGAAUUACUGGGCGUAAAGCGUACGCAGGCGGUUUGUUAAGCGAGAUGUGAAAGCCCUGGGCUCAACCUGGGAACUGCAUUUCGAACUGGCAAACUAGAGUGUGAUAGAGGGUGGUAGAAUUUCAGGUGUAGCGGUGAAAUGCGUAGAGAUCUGAAGGAAUACCGAUGGCGAAGGCAGCCACCUGGGUCAACACUGACGCUCAUGUACGAAAGCGUGGGGAGCAAACGGGAUUAGAUACCCCGGUAGUCCACGCCGUAAACGAUGUCUACUAGAAGCUCGGGUCCUCGGACUUGUUUUUCAAAGCUAACGCAUUAAGUAGACCGCCUGGGGGAGUACGGCCGCAAGGUUAAAAACUCAAAUGAAUUUGACGGGGG